Molecule: ribosomal RNA, 466 nt
Filed under: uncultured bacterium
Lineage: Bacteria
Description: partial 16S ribosomal RNA
Rfam family: Bacterial small subunit ribosomal RNA
Source: RNAcentral
GACGAACGCUGGCGGCGUGCUUAACACAUGCAAGUCGAACGGAAAGGCCCAGCUUGCUGGGUACUCGAGUGGCGAACGGGUGAGUAACACGUGGGUGAUCUGCCCUGCACUCUGGGAUAAGCCUGGGAAACUGGGUCUAAUACCGGAUAUGACCGACUGUCGCAUGGUGGUUGGUGGAAAGCUUUUGCGGUGUGGGAUGGGCCCGCGGCCUAUCAGCUUGUUGGUGGGGUAAUGGCCUACCAAGGCGACGACGGGUAGCCGACCUGAGAGGGUGAUCGGCCACACUGGGACUGAGACACGGCCCAGACUCCUACGGGAGGCAGCAGUGGGGAAUAGUGCACAAUGGGCGCAAGCCUGAUGCAGCGACGCCGCGUGAGGGAUGAUGGCCUUCGGGUUGUAAACCUCUUUCACCAGGGACGAAGCGUGAGUGACGGUACCUGGAGAAGAAGCACCGGCCAACUACGUG